ACUCCCCGAAACUAGACGAGCUACUCUAAAACAGCCCACAGAGCCAACCCAUCCCUGUUGCAAGAGGGCGGGAAGAUUUUAGAGUAGAGGUGACACACCUACCGAGCCUAGAGAUAGCUGGUUAUUUAAAAAACGGAUUUAAGUCCACCUUUAAGCUCAUAUAGUACAACUAAACACCCUCUACAAGCUUAAAAGCCAUUCAAAUAAGGUACAGCCUAUUUGAACUAGGAAACAACCUUUUACACCGGGUAACAUCUAAACAAGUGACCAAGUAGGCCUAAGAGCAGCCAACUUACAAAAGCGUUCAAGCUUCCCCACAACCAAUCUCCAAUCCCUUAAUCAAUUAACAACCCCCACUAACUACUAAAUGACCCCAUACUUAUAUGAGAGACAUUAUGCUAGAACUAGUAACAAGAAGAAGAACUUCUCCGACAUGUAAACGUUAGCCAAAAUGAACCCCCCACCGGCCUUUACCGCCACAAUAGUAUUAUACUUUCUAGAAAACUAUACUUUACCCGACGUCAACCUUACACUAGA
Molecule: ribosomal RNA, 537 nt
Filed under: Stumpffia contumelia
Lineage: Eukaryota; Metazoa; Chordata; Amphibia; Anura; Microhylidae
Description: partial 16S ribosomal RNA
Rfam family: Bacterial large subunit ribosomal RNA (bases 5-121)
Source: RNAcentral